AGCUAAUCAGGAGCUUUUCCUGUUUCCUAUGCAGACCUUAUUCUGGGAACUAAAGCUCUGAACUCACUUCUUUUCAUCCCCCAAGUCUUGCUACACACAACCAAACCACCCUGUUUUACUCUUUUUUUUACUAACAUGUUCUAGAGAAUACGUAUUUUAUCACCAAGACUCCCUCCUGUAAGUGUGUGCAGGUGGUAAGUCUUGUAACUUGCGUGACUGUUUGCCAUGUUCCAGCAAGUGGUCCCCACAGCACUGGAUGCAGAGUCAUUAAUGUCUUCAGAUCCAAUUGAAUUGAAAACCUUAGUCCAUACAAUGAAGAAUCAAUUGAAUGGGCUCAUCCUUAAAAUGCUGUUCUGCUGGAACCAUUCUUACUACCAAAUGCUGUAUCAGUUCAACUUCAGUGAGAAAAGCGGAACCACUAUGCAUGUAGGACCAACCAAAGAAAGCCAAAUGUUGUGUGUUCCUCUAACCUAUCACACGGACUACUCCACCUUCAGUUCACUACCUCCAGUGCCCCAGGCCGGCAGCCUCCACUUGGGCUCACCUGGAACCUUCUUUUUCCUCCAGUACAAAGUUUCUUCCCUCCUGUCUCUGCCUUUGAAUCUACGCUAAAAUGCAGGCGAUGAUAGCUGACUCUCUGGCUAUAGCAAGCUCAGAACUAAAGACUUGUGUUUCCCAUGUCUUUAUUUUUAUUUCCACACUUGCUGACUCAGUGUAAUGAAUACUGAUACAGUGACUUAUGAUACAGGACUGAGGCUUGUUGUGGGCUCUGGCUGUCAAGGUCUGUGCUCUGCACUCUUGUUGGUCUGACCAGUUUCUUUGGAUCCACCAGCUUUUUAUGUGUACCUGUGCCUGCAGGGAGGCUCAAAUUCCCUGUGUCUUUCUACUCCCCUUACUGGUAUGACUCACAUUUUAAGAGAUUUCAGGCCGUGGUGUGCUGACUCCAUUGCUUUUAGGCCUGUAGCGAGGCUGAAACAUCACGACCGCUGACCUCACGGCAGCUGAGACACAAAUGGAGGGAAAGAGCCCACCCAGGAGACGAAGCUCCCAGGGACAAGAUGUGGCCUCCAAGGUCGUGGCCUGGUGAUCUACUCCCUUCAGCUAGGCCUCACUCCUGUUUUUACUUACCUCCCAAUAACACCAUCAAUUGAGGUCACAUCUGUGGAGUAAAAGGUGAACUAAGGUGGAGCCCUCAUGAACCACUCACUCCUAAUAAGACCCUCACCUGGCAUCCAAGCCUUUACCACGGGAGUGUCAGGGGACAGUUCAAACAGUAACAAAGGCUGUCUUUGGAAGCUCAUCCAGCUGUAUGCAUUCCUUGCUGCCCAGAAUGCUGAAUCAUGGUCCUUGUGUUUAUGGCUUUGCCUCCACGAGUGAGAAGCAGAAACCUUUAUUCCAAUCUUUGCCACCAAGACACUGAUAUGGACCUUAGGCUCUGCAAAUCUCACACAUGGCUUCAGUCUGGAAAACAGUGACAUGAAGGAGCCCGUGAUGAAAAUGAAGGUAACAGUGAACUAAUCAGCAUGUCAAGGAACCCAGGCAAAACUCCAAAAGGCAACACCAGAGGGAGUGUGUAUGCUAUGACCUCUUCCCGGUGGCCAUGCCUACUGGGACUUUAUUAAAUAUCUUACAAUAUAAUUGAGGUAUACUCUGCCUUUCCUAAGAUUCUGGAGCUUCCUAUACCUAAUUUAUAAGUUUGUAAAAAAAUAGAUGAAAGUCAGUUCAAUUAUUUGCAGCUAAACCCUUACAAAAUACUUUCUCGAUCAUCAUUCAUCUGUUUUUCAAGGAGCUCAUGUUUCUAUUAUAGAGACCAAGUCAGCUACUGAUUACUCAGGAGUGUUCUGUCCUCCGGGUCACACCUGGAGAAGGAAGGCACCAUGGGCACAGCGUGAGCUACAGAAAUAAUCAGCCACAGACACCGGCAGGUGGCCAGACACGGCAAGAGGUGACAAGUGACAACCCGAACUGACUUGGAGACACUGUGCUUUCCUCCGCUACUCAGGAAUACCUAUAGGGCAUUUCUUUAUGGGUACACAGAGCGGGGGUGGGAGUACAGACUGACAAUAAAGAACAAGACGGCAAGCCCCUGAUCUGGAGACUUGGGGCAGUUUGGGCUCCAGGAGACACUAAACUGAGGACGUUAUCUCAUUUAAUCUUUCCAGCGUCUCAGAAGUAUUGUCACACUAUCGUUGUAGACAUAGGGCAUUUGAGGCUUAACGAUAUGAAGGCCCCAGUCACACAGCUGGUGAGCUGUGGACCAACG
This 2263-nucleotide long non-coding RNA is filed under the name Chinchilla lanigera (long-tailed chinchilla). RNAcentral's name for it is "lncRNA (ENSCLAG00000024474.1)". Lineage: Eukaryota; Metazoa; Chordata; Mammalia; Rodentia; Chinchillidae. The record is from RNAcentral.